UGGGAGUGCUCUGGGGAGUGCUCAGAGGGAUGGUGGGCUGCAAGGACAGGAUGGGAGAGGAUUUUAGGGGAUCUUCCAUGACCUUACAAGCAUUUCUCCUCCCUUGGCUCCACGGGGUCUGUUGCCUGCCCCAGCUCCAGCCAGGGCAGUGUUGGGACACGAAAUCCCCCACGAGUCUGGGGCAGAAGGGAAAGUUUUGUUUUGUUUGGAUUCUGGCCUUCCCAAGCAAACUGGAGAGUUUAAAUCCAUACAACUGGAUCUGCCUUUAGUGGGCCCAUAAUUGGAUGUUUUAUCCCGUGUUUUCCUGCUCCUCACAGUGGAUAUUUUUCCCAUACUGCCAUGACAUUGGGUUUGUGUUUUCUUUUCUUUUUUUACUUCACUCCUUUACCCCUCAUCUCUGCUCCUCUAAUUUUAUAAAUUACUGAAAUGAUAAUUUUUUUCCCUCCCCAGUGCUGGGGCUGAGCAUGAUGAAAUUUUCCUGUGGAGAUGUGGAUCCUGUGUUUUAAUUACUGCUCAGGCCAGUGAAGGUUCUUCUAAAGAAUAAGUGCUGAUUAAAGCGGGUUUUAUCACAGGAUGGAUCUUAUGCAAACAAAGAAAGAAAUCAAAAUAUCCUCUAUCAAAUGAAAUCAAGAUAUCCUGUAUCAGUCAGGUUGGACAAGCCCUGUGGGAUGACUGAGUCCAGCUGUUCCCCCACCCCUGCCCCAAAGGCCACAUCCACAAUCUCUGAACCCCUCCAGGGAUGGGGACUGCCCUGGGCAGCCUGGAGAGCCCUUGCAGGGAAGAAACACAGAUCAAUCCUUCUGUUCUCCUUCUGGUAAAACAAGGAAAACAAAGCUCCUUUAUCCAAUUUCCAAGCUGUAUUUCAUUCUCUUUUGUGAUGCCCAAAGUGCUGCUCAUCCAGGAGAAGUCUGGAGAGCAGCAAGAACUUUCCUGGCUCUCACCUGGAGCACGUCAGGCCUGCAGAAUCCCUGGAUACAGGAGGGAGACAGGAGAGAGGAGCAGGAGCUGGGAGGUCAAGAGGAGAUUUGGUCAGGGGCACUGAUGUGCUGGAUCACCAUCCCUGGGAGUAAAUUCUUUCCCAUUCUUUGCUGCUGCCAUUCGUGCUCCCCCUCUGCUCCUUUUGCAGCUGCUAUGAAAUUGCCUUGCAUUGGAAUUUGCCCAAAUUCCAGCUUUUUCCAGAGUUUUUCUGUUUUAUUUAGAGCUUUUCCAAGUGGCUCCUUGUAGAUGUGGAGUUCUUAAAUGCUGGUAAUGCUCUUUGUCCACCCUGGGAGAUGGUGAAUAUUCCUGGCACGGUGUGACUGCAAGGCAGGAAAAGCUUUGGGAGCAAAGCACAGUGGAUGUGUUCUGGAUCUUCUUUAGGGAGCACAGAAGGAGUUAAAUAAACCAGGGCUGGAAGGACAUUCCCAAAUCCAUAAUGCACAGGAUUGGCAUUCUGUCUGCAUACAAAUAACUUGGAUUAGCAGGAUGUGCCAUUCCUUUCACCAUAAAAAUAUCCACACUCACAUUAUUUUAAGACACUUCCAAAAUAGAGCGGAGUUAAAAUAUUUGUUUUAAACUAUCCAGGGAUCCUUGCACAAUCUUUUUGAUUGCUUUUUAUAGCCCUUCUCCACCCUGAGUCAUUUAGCAGUUCCCUUUCCUGAAAUACCAGUGGUAACUCUCUCUCCAUCUCCGUGAUGGAUGUUUGUGUGAAUUCAUUUCACUCCUCACAGCGAAGCCUUUCAGCACUGCCUCUCCAGCUUGGGACAAAUGCAGCCUAAAUGGGGGUUUUAGACAAAAUUGUGGGGAAAUGAGGUUACCCAGAGCAGCUGGGGCUGCCCCUGGAUCCCUGGCAGUGCCCAAGG
Parus major (Great Tit) is the source of this 1841-nucleotide long non-coding RNA. RefSeq lists it as uncharacterized. The record is from RefSeq and is a predicted model, not a curated record. Lineage: Eukaryota; Metazoa; Chordata; Aves; Passeriformes; Paridae. The transcript has 4 exons.